Harmonia axyridis is the source of this 6083-nucleotide long non-coding RNA. RefSeq lists it as uncharacterized. The record is from RefSeq and is a predicted model, not a curated record. Lineage: Eukaryota; Metazoa; Arthropoda; Insecta; Coleoptera; Coccinellidae. The transcript has 2 exons.
UCGUGAUCUGUAGAUUCUGUAGAUCGUCUGCCUGAAAUGGAAUAAAUCGAUUAUUUGAUAUUUUUCCUUAGCAUUCAUAUGAUAUAUCUACAUAGGUACCCACUGAUUAUUUUGUAAUAUUGUUUGAACCAAAGACUCUUUGGUUAUUGAUUACGAGAAAACCUUUAAAAUGAGGUUUUUUCGACGGAGAUAAUUAUUGGAAGAGAUAAUUAUGGAAGAAGUUUUUUUUGAGGAUACCUGAAACUGAAGAUUAUCCAUUUUACACCUCUUCUCAGCUGCCACCGUCAUUUUGACUAAAUCCAGCAUACAAAUCUCAAGGCCAGUAAUUUCCAAUUUCUAUAAAAAAUGUGGAGUUCUUACACUGUACUUUUUUGAACAAACAAUAAUUUGGUGCAGUUAGUUAUCUAACUGGAUUCAACUUGAAUAGCAAAAACUGUGAACGUUGUGUCAUUGAUUUUAAAUUUAGCGUGAAAACCUUUUUUUUAUUCCUUCUGGAAAUUGUGAAGGUUUCACUAAUUGGACAUUCAACCAUAUUAAUUUGCUAUUUUGCUGUCGAUUUUUAAAUAGUUUUUACAUUGGUUUUAAACCUAAAAAUUACGUGGAGUAUUUUAAUGGAAAUAUUGAAAAUCCUGUGAAUCUAUAACUAAUUGCUCACUGGCGAAAAACUAUGGGUUAUAUAAAAAUAAUUAAUGGUUACACCAUUUUGUCUCAUUUCAAUUUAUCAGAUUUAUUGGUAUUUUUUUGAGAAAGAACAAUACAAAAAUUGUUAACUUCAAACGAUAAAGCAUGUGUCGAUAAAUCUCAGUAUUAGCAGAGGAAAUGUACAUUUCAAAGUUUGAUACAAGAGUACAGAUAAAAACCUCAGCAAAAAUUCUGUCUCCUCGUAGAGGUCUAGUGUUUGGUUUAUGUAUUUGUUCACUGAUUAAGUUGACAUAAUUCAAUGAAGGCCUUUUUUUUCAUCCAAACAAAAUACUUUCAUCCUUUUCGCCAGAAGUUGAUGACGCAAAUAUUAUAUUCGAAUCUGAAAAAAAAAAAGGAAAGAAUCAGAAAGAAAUGUUAAAUGUUUUAGUUCCACAUCAAAUGAUGUUAUAAACAACAAUAAUUUGAAGGAUGAUUUAUACAUCAAUUUUUGUCAUUUUCAUUCUGAUUCAAGUAUGAAUACUUCUCAUUCUGCUAUUGAUAUACAGGGAGUUUCGUGAAUAAGAGUACAUGAUUUCAAUGUGAAAGCAGGAAAAUUUUGAUAGUAUGAAUUAGUGUUCACACAAAUAAUGAGUGCAUUCGUUUAUAAUAUACUGGGUGUUUUAUGCAUUUCAACGAAAAUUCCCAAUUGGUAUAACUCUUCAAAGCUGUUGAAUUUCAUCAAAAUUUCAAAGACUAUUUCUAGGAUAAUGACCAAUAUUAUUCGGACUGAGAAAAUUUGAUAUAAAUAUAAUGCUGAAGGUUUUCAUAUUUGAUUAGAUGUUGAAUCUAAUAUAAUACCUAUAAAGCAAUCAUUUUUCAAAUUACAGAUAAACGCGUAUGGGUCACAUUAAAUUCUAUGUCUAUGUUGAAUUUGUCACGGAAUUCCAUGAUUACUAUAACUUUUAUAUCACCUUUAUCGGCCUCAACGCCCAAAUCAAAAUCAUUAUCCAUCACCAUAACACCAAAAAUGAAUGCACAAAAUCCUUCAACAUCUGAUAAUCCAAAUGAGUAAUUUUUAAAUGUUUUCUGUCAAAUCUGACAUUAGUUAAGUUCCAAAGCUCCACUUACAACGGUUAAGCCAAACCAAUUCUUGGGCUUUAAAUUCAGAAUAAGUUAAGGUUCGCUUAGCGAUCUGUGGAGUGUAUUAAGCGAAGCUUUAGUAAUUUAAGCUGAUCUUAUGAUUACAGGGUAACCUGUAGAAUCGGUCAUAGCCAUUUAAUUUAAAUUAAUUAAAUGAAAAUUGUUUCGCUACAUAGUUGCUUCUUCAGUUUUUACAUUUUGAAUAACUGAAAAUGUUAUUCUAAUAAUAAAAAUUUGAAAUAGAAUAACUCUCAUUUGAUUUCGGUCAAAAUAACAAAAUUAUAUCUGCAUUCUUGAAAAUAAUAUUUUUCAUUUAUUUUCAUAAAUGGCAUACGUAAAAAUAUAAUCCCAUAUAAAACAAUAAAAAUAUUCUUCUCUAGUUCAAUAUAUUGAAUUAUUGAAUAGGUACCUUAGAUUGCUGAAGAAAUCCCAUGAAUUAAUCGUUCAAACACUGAAAUCCUGAUGAGGAACAGGAAAUAAAAAAAUCAUACAAUCCAUUCAAGAUAUUCAAAAUGAAUUUUUUUAUAUUCGUUUAAAUCAAUAAAUUUUCCAACUUACAAGUUAUAAACUUUUUCGAAAGAGUAUCCAAAUCAUGUAACUCAAUUAAUUUCGUGAUUUCACGUUUAUUAUGAUGUAUGGUAAAGUUUUUCGUUGAAUUUAUUAACAAUCAUUUGCCUAAUUUUUCGAUACCCAUUCAUCUUUUUACCCAUUUUCAGAAAGUGGAGUUGAUGUUUUCCAUUUUCGUUCAGGAUUACAACUUCUUUGCUUGAUAGAGCUUCAAAUUUAUCAACUGCAAAAAGACGUGAAAUUAAUUGUGAAUUGUUAGAAAAAUAUUAUUGUGAUGACAUUUCAGAAUGCUGAAGGCUUUCACAUCUAGAUUCUCCUACAAAUUCAGAAAAUUCCAGGUUUUUUAGCCAUAAUUAACUUAUUUUUGAUAAUAUUGGAAUUUCUUUUAGAUAAGAGUUUGAAAUCAAAGAAUUUGAAUUGGAAAAAAGAAACAUUAUUUUCAAAGCACUAACCUAUUCAAAAUAUUUUUUAUGUUCGAAUAAUUCAAAAGAAUAACUGGAAAAAAAUAUAGACUUUGCCGGAAUGAAAUACAAUUAUAUUCCUCUUCAAAUUGGCAGCAUAUAAAUAUUUACAUUUUCACAUGAUUUGAAUGAGACACAAUUAUAAUUUUCGUAGUAUGAAAUAUAAAGUAAAUAUGAUCAGCUGAGAAGUUUUAUCAGACUUUAUGAUUUUUUUCAUUUAUUUUCAUGAAUUAAUAUCAUAAAUAAUAAUAAUAAAUAAGUUUAUUGAAGCAGAAAAAUAUAACGAAAAACAGUUUCUGAAAAUACAAUUAAAUACAUAAAAAUUAUACCAUAUAUAAAACUAUAAAAAUUUGCAUUCCUAGUUCAACAUAUUAAAAUAGUAGGUAAAUACCUGAUACUAAUAACGAAACCAUCAAAUUAAUCAUUCAAAUAUAUACCUACUGAAAAGAAGCGAGACAUGAUUAAAUAAAACAAUUCAUUAUUAUUCUAGUAUGUAUAUGUCAUGAUAACUAUUUACAUUAAUAAAUUUAUUUACAUUAUUUGAAACCUUAUUCCAAUAUUCUACAUUAAUUAAAUUCAUUAUUAAUAUCGAUUAUUUUGCGUUUUUAUCAGCGAUAUCUGGAAAAUUUCUCAAAAGAUUCAUUAUCAGAACUUUUACUCUCAAGUUCUUUUCCAAAUCUUCUUUUUUUUCAGAGAGUGGAGUUGAUGUUUUUCAUUUUCAUUCAAGAUCACAACUUCUUUGCUUGGUAGAGCUUCAAAUUCAUCAACUGCAAAAAGACGUAAAAUUAAUUGUGAAUUGUUAAAAAAAUAUUAUUGUGAUGACAUUUCAGAAUGCUGAAGGCUUUCAGAUCUAGAUUCUCCUACAAAUUCAAAAAAUUUCAGGGUUUUUUAGCAGUAUACGAAAGUGUUUAUACACUGAUAUUUUGUCUACAAAUGCCUUAAAACCUCUAGAAAUAUCCAGCGUAGUAGUGAAAUAACGAAAUUUGCACUAAAUAUCAACUUAACUACGUAUUAAAAUUCAAUAAAUUUCUUUGCUUCCAUCUUCACUUCUUUUUUUUUUAUCGGGUGACGUCGUUUUCACUGUUGAUUCAUCUUUUUGUUCUUAUGUCAUGAGGACGUUUCUAUUGAAUUAUUUGCUCCAUCAACGCCAUCCAUUGAGAGGGCUUCAAAUUCUUCAACUGAAAAAACACAAAAAAUGAUUGUAAAUAGAACAAAAAAAAUUAAUUAAUGUUAUUUUAUAAUGCUGAAGGCUCGCACUUCUAGAUUGUUCUACAAAUUAAAAAAAAAAUUCGUUAUCAGGUGAGGACGUUUCUAUAAAUUCAUCCGCUCCAUCAACGCCAUCCAUUGAGAGGGCUUCAAAAUCGUCAAUUGAAAAAAAAACAAAAAAUUAAUUAUAAAUAAUAGAGAAAAAAUUAAUAAAUUAUAUUUUAUAAUGCUGAAGGGUCGCACUUCUAAAUUAUUCUACAAAUUCCAAAAAAUUCGGUUUUUUUGCAGUGGCCCAAUAGGCUUUUCAACUGAAGUUUCCUCUACAAUUGCGGUAAAAAUAUCUAAUUCAAUUUAUGUAGACAUAAAUUAAAUUAUCAUAAUUAUUAAUAUUAAUUAUUUCGCGUUUUUAUCCGCGAUAUCUGGAAAAUUUCUCAAUAUAUUCAUUAUCAGAACUUUUACCCUCAAGUUCUUUUCCAAAUAUUCUUCCUUUUCAUUUAAUUUUUUCAGAAUCAUUUCCAAAAUUUUUUUGUUUUCUUGUUCACCCCUUUCGUCAUCAGGUGAGGACGUUUCUAUUGAAUUUUUUGCUCCAUCAACGCCACCCAUUGAUAGGGCUUCAAAUUCUUCAACUGAAAAAACACAAAAAAUUAAUUAUAAAUAGAACAGAAAAAAUUAAUAAAUGAUAUUUUAUAAUGCUGAAGGCUCGCACUUCUAGAUUGUUCUACAAAUUCCAAAAAAUUCGGUUUUUUUGCAGUGGUCCAAUAGGCUUUUCAACUAAAGUUUCCUCAACAAUUGUGGUAGGAGAAAAAAAACUCACUUGAAAUACCAAUUUAACCAUGAAUAAAUUCUCAUUCUAAAUAUAAUAAGUUGAAGAUUAUAAAAAUAUCAACACGAUCAUUCCAAUCGCUCAUUUCGUCGAUGAGUUUAUCGAAUUCGUCAGAUGAUUCCAUAUCUUCAACAUAUUUCGUUAGUCCUUCCAAGGAUUCGAAAACAGGGAAUAAUAAAAUUCACAACUAGCACACAAAUUUUUUUCAUCACUAUGUGGACAGUGGGAAACCACACACAUUGUAUACAAUGAGCAUAUCAUUGAUUAGAAACGAUAUCGAAUCUGAAGACCGUAUAUUCGUUUCCAAUUCGGACUUUGAAUCCCACCAAUUUACAAUUUGAAAAUAUGAAACUGAAAAAAAAGUGUAGAAUUUGAUGUGGCAAAUAUAUCUACUAAAUGGCAGACUUUUGGCACAUUUACCCAUUAAUUUGAAAAAACCUGAAGAAAUUGCCUUCAAUCUUUUCAAAAUUACCGCUUCCGUAAUUUUCCUCAUUAUGAGAUUUUGCAGAACUUCAUUCUCAUAUUGUACAUAAGUUGAAUGCAUGAUUUCACGUUUUCAUUUAUGAUAUCUGGAAACAUUUUUCUGAAAAUUUGUGAACGAAACUUCAGCUCUUAAGUUUCUCUCAAAAUAUUGAAUAUUUUCGUUGAAUUUUUUGACAGUGAUCCAAAUAUAAUAAGUUGAAGAAUAUAAAAAUCUCAACAAGAUCAUUCCAGUUCCUCGUUUCGUCAAUAAGUUAAUCGAAUUCGUCAGAGGAUGCCAUUUCUUAUUUCGUCUAUAAAAUUAUGAAAUUCAUCAAAUUAUACAAUUUUAGCUGAAUAUUUCGAUAAUUUUUCUGAAGAUUCGAAAACAAGAAAUUAUAAGAAAUAUUAUUCAAUAACUUGCUUCUCACUGACCAGUAAAUGAAUACACUAUACUCCAUUGAAGAAUUAAUUCCAUAAUUAUUCUAUUCCAAUAAUCUCCCUAAAUUCUCCUCAAAUCUGUUGCAUUUUUUGGAAUCAUAAUCAUAAUCAUUAUCUAUGAAGAAACGCCUUUAUUUUUUUCAUCACUAUGUGGACAGUGGGAAACCACAAACAUUGUAUACAGUGAGCAUAUCAUUGAUUAGAAACGAUAUCGAAUCUGAAGACCGUAUAUUCGUUUCCAAUUCUUACUUUAAAUCCCACCAAUUUACAAUUUGAAAAUAUGAAACUGAAAAAAAAGUGUAGAAUUUGAUGUGGCAAAUAUAUCUACUAAAUGGCAGACUUUUGGCACAUUUACCCAUUAAUUU